CCUACGGGAGGCAGCAGUGGGGCAUAGUGGACAAUGGGGGAAACCCUGAUGCAGCGACGCAGCGUGAGUGAAGAAGUACUUCGUUACGUAAAGCUCUAUCAGCAGGGAAGAAAAUGACGGUACCUGAGUAAGAAGCCCCGGCUAACUACGUGCCAGCAGCCGCGGUAAUACGUAGGGGGCAAUCGUUAUCCGGAUUUACUGGGUGGAAAGGGAGCGGAGCCUGUGCGGCACGUCUGGAGUGAAAUGCCGGAGCUUAACUGCGGAACUGCUUUGGAAACUGGCGAACUAGAGUGCGGGAGGGGUAAGCGGAAUUGCUAGUGUAGCGGUGAAAUGCGUAGAUAUUAGGAGUAACACCGGUGGCGAAGGCGGCUUACUGGACCGUAACUGACGUGGAGGCUCGAAAGCGUGGGGAGCAAACAGGAUUGGAUACCCGAGUAGUC
Molecule: ribosomal RNA, 440 nt
Filed under: uncultured bacterium
Lineage: Bacteria
Description: partial 16S ribosomal RNA
Rfam family: Bacterial small subunit ribosomal RNA
Source: RNAcentral